UAGAGGUGGGAGCUGGGCAAAGAGGCCGGCCUGCAGAGAUGCGGCUGGGAGUGAUGUGGCUACAUGGGGCAGCAUCGUCAGCACGGGCAGAGACGGUCAGAUCUACACGCUGCGGCGUGGAGAGAGCUGCGGAGCCGCAGUCAGCAAAGUUUCACGCCUAUUUGUGACCAGUGUAGCCUGCUGUCCCACUUAAUAGAUAAAGCAACUGGAAAGGGCCAGAGUUGUGGUGCAGCAGAUAAAGUGGUCGCCUGCAAAGCCAGCAUCGCAUGUGGGCACUGAUUUGAGCCCCAUCCGGUUCACUUCUGAUCCAGCUUCCUGCUAAUGUGCCUGGGAAAGCAGCGGUAGAUGGCUCAAGUCCUCGGUGGGCCCCUGCAUCCAUGUGGGAGAUGUGGGUGGAGUUGCUGGCUCCUGGUUGUGGCGUGGCCCAGCCCCAGCCAUUGCAGCCAUCUGGAAAGUGAACCAGUGGAUGGAAGAUCGGUCUCUGUUUUUCCCUUUCUCUGUA
This is a non-coding RNA of Oryctolagus cuniculus (rabbit), 502 nucleotides long. The record is from RefSeq and is a predicted model, not a curated record. Lineage: Eukaryota; Metazoa; Chordata; Mammalia; Lagomorpha; Leporidae.